Molecule: small nuclear RNA, 108 nt
Organism: Marmota marmota marmota (Alpine marmot)
Lineage: Eukaryota; Metazoa; Chordata; Mammalia; Rodentia; Sciuridae
Source: Ensembl
GUGCUUACUUUGGCAGCACAAAUACUAAAGUUGGAAUGAUACAGAGAAGAUGAGCAUGGCCCCCUGGACAAGGAGGACCUGCAAAUUCAUAAAUCAUUCCAUAUUUUU